RNAcentral lists this transfer RNA (104 nucleotides) under Tunturiibacter empetritectus. RNAcentral describes it as "Tunturibacter empetritectus tRNA-OTHER". The record is from RNAcentral. Lineage: Bacteria; Pseudomonadati; Acidobacteriota; Terriglobia; Terriglobales; Acidobacteriaceae.
CGGCGCGUAGAGUGCGGUCUGUGCCAACUAGUUUCAAUAAGUUGCGCUACGUUGAGAUCUUGACACGGUAGAGGUCAGCGGUUCGAAUCCGCUCGUGCCUACCA